Molecule: ribosomal RNA, 250 nt
Filed under: uncultured bacterium
Lineage: Bacteria
Description: partial 16S ribosomal RNA
Rfam family: Bacterial small subunit ribosomal RNA
Source: RNAcentral
GACGGAGGGGGCUAGCGUUGUUCGGAAUGACUGGGCGUAAAGAGCGCGUAGGCGGUUUAUUAAGUGAGGCGUGAAAGCCCUGGGCUUAACCUAGGAGGUGCGUUUCAUACUGAUAAGCUAGAGUACGAGAGAGGAAAGCGGAAUUCCUAGUGUAGAGGUGAAAUUCGUAGAUAUUAGGAAGAACACCAGUGGCGAAGGCGGCUUUCUGGCUCGUAACUGACGCUGAGGCGCGAAAGCGUGGGGAGCAAAC